This 656-nucleotide long non-coding RNA is filed under the name Suricata suricatta (meerkat). RNAcentral's name for it is "lncRNA (ENSSSUG00005002143.1)". Lineage: Eukaryota; Metazoa; Chordata; Mammalia; Carnivora; Herpestidae. The record is from RNAcentral.
GCCGGGGCGGGGAGGCCGGGCGGGCGCGCGGGGCGCACGCGUUAAGUGGCGUCGCACGUGUAAGAGAAAAGUGUCCUUCUCGGAGCGGCCGUUAGCUCCGCUCGGGAGGAGCGCACCCGGGGCGCGCGGCGGCCGAGCGGGGUAAGCGCGGGGCGGCGCCGGGAGGAAGGACGGACCCGGGCAGGCUGCGCCUUCGCGCUCCCGGCCGCUUUGGAUUCCUGGGGGGAGCUUGGGGAAGCUGUGGGAGGGACGUGGUUACCGAUGAGGGUCGGGUAACUUUCUGGAAGACUUUGGAAUAACUGGUGGUAUGCAGAGCGCCCGCUCCCGGCUGAGCAGUGGCUCUUCUUGGCGCGUGGCCGACGGCUGGGUUGCAGGUGUGCCUUCUUGACGGUGUUCUGCCCCUUAAGAGAGGAAGUGGGGCUGCUCCGGACCCGCAGACCGCAGGGGUCUUCAGAUCGAGGUACCUAUCUGAAAGUGUUUUGCAGCACCUGGACCUAAAGGACUCUGGAGAGACUGAGCCACCAAAGAAGAGUCACAAGAUGCCACAGCCAGCCGUCCUACCUGCUUCGUCUGAUUUACUAAUUGAAUAAAUGUUUCCUUGGCCCCAUGUUUCUCCACAGGUGCACAAUGGACAUUUGGGGCGGGGCAGUUCUUUA